CUGCUGACGAGCGGCGGACGGGUGAGUAAUGUAUGGGGAUCUGCCUGAUGGCGGGGGAUAACUACUGGAAACGGUAGCUAAUACCGCAUAAUGUCUUCGGACCAAAGCGGGGGACCUUCGGGCCUCGCGCCAUCAGAUGAACCCAUAUGGGAUUAGCUGGUAGGUAAGGUAACGGCUUACCUAGGCGACGAUCCCUAGCUGGUCUGAGAGGAUGAUCAGCCACACUGGGACUGAGACACGGCCAGACUCCUACGGGAGGCAGCAGUGGGGAAUAUUGCACAAUGGGCGCAAGCCUGAUGCAGCCAUGCCGCGUGUAUGAAGAAGGCCUUCGGGUUGUAAAGUACUUUCAGUCGGGAGGAAGGUGUCAAGGUUAAUAACCUUGGCAAUUGACGUUACCGACAGAAGAAGCACCGGCUAACUCCGUGCCAGCAGCCGCGGUAAUACGGAGGGUGCAAGCGUUAAUCGGAAUUACUGGGCGUAAAGCGCACGCAGGCGGUUGAUUGAGUCAGAUGUGAAAUCCCCGGGCUUAACCCGGGAAUUGCAUCUGAUACUGGUCAGCUAGAGUCUUGUAAGGGGGGUAGAAUUCCAUGUGUAGCGGUG
This 600-nucleotide ribosomal RNA is filed under the name uncultured bacterium. RNAcentral's name for it is "bacterial SSU rRNA". It matches the Rfam family "Bacterial small subunit ribosomal RNA", at positions 85 to 683 of the family's 1533-position model. The record is from RNAcentral.